RNAcentral lists this ribosomal RNA (497 nucleotides) under uncultured bacterium. Its description in RNAcentral is "partial 16S ribosomal RNA". It matches the Rfam family "Bacterial small subunit ribosomal RNA", at positions 28 to 507 of the family's 1533-position model. The record is from RNAcentral.
GAUGAACGCUGGCGGCGUGCCUAAUACAUGCAAGUCGAGCGAACAGACGAGGAGCUUGCUCCUCUGACGUUAGCGGCGGACGGGUGAGUAACACGUGGAUAACCUACCUAUAAGACUGGGAUAACUUCGGGAAACCGGAGCUAAUACCGGAUAAUAUAUUGAACCGCAUGGUUCAAUAGUGAAAGACGGUUUUGCUGUCACUUAUAGAUGGAUCCGCACCGCAUUAGCUAGUUGGUAAGGUAACGGCUUACCAAGGCGACGAUGCGUAGCCGACCUGAGAGGGUGAUCGGCCACACUGGAACUGAGACACGGUCCAGACUCCUACGGGAGGCAGCAGUAGGGAAUCUUCCGCAAUGGGCGAAAGCCUGACGGAGCAACGCCGCGUGAGUGAUGAAGGUCUUCGGAUCGUAAAACUCUGUUAUUAGGGAAGAACAAAUGUGUAAGUAACUAUGCACGUCUUGACGGCACCUAAUCAGAAAGCCACGGCUAACUACGUG